GGGGAUUUAGCUCAGUGGUAGAGCGCUUGCCUAGCAAGCACAAGGCCCUGGGUUCGGUCCCCAGCUUCA
Molecule: non-coding RNA, 69 nt
Organism: Rattus norvegicus (Norway rat)
Lineage: Eukaryota; Metazoa; Chordata; Mammalia; Rodentia; Muridae
Source: Rfam